AAACCGGAAGGAAGGGUGGGGAUGACGUACAAGUCCUCAGUCGGCCCUUAGUAGGGUCGGCUACACACGUCAUACAAUGGCUGGUACAGAGGGUUGCCAACCCGCGAGGGGGAGCCAAUCCCAUAAAGCCAGUCGUAGUCCGGAUCGCAGUCUGCAACUCGACUGCGUGAAGUCGGAAUCGCUAGUAAUCGCGGAUCAGAAUGUCGCGGUGAAUACGUUCCCGGGUCUUGUACACACCGCCCGUCACACCAUGGGAGCGGGUUCUGCCAGAAGUAGUUAGCCUAACCGCAAGGAGGGCGAUUACCACGGCAGGGUUCGUGACUGGGGUGAAGUCGUAACAAGGUAGCCGUAUCGGAAGGUGCGGCUGGAUCACCUCCUUUCUGAG
Molecule: ribosomal RNA, 385 nt
Filed under: uncultured Azospira sp.
Lineage: Bacteria; Pseudomonadati; Pseudomonadota; Betaproteobacteria; Rhodocyclales; Rhodocyclaceae
Description: bacterial SSU rRNA
Rfam family: Bacterial small subunit ribosomal RNA
Source: RNAcentral